RNAcentral lists this transfer RNA (76 nucleotides) under Faecalibacterium sp. Its description in RNAcentral is "tRNA-Trp". It matches the Rfam family "tRNA". From Rfam's summary of the family: Transfer RNA (tRNA) molecules are approximately 80 nucleotides in length. RNAcentral also lists the same sequence under 1 other name. The record is from RNAcentral. Lineage: Bacteria; Bacillati; Bacillota; Clostridia; Eubacteriales; Oscillospiraceae.
AUUCCCGUAGCUCAAUCGGUAGAGCGUUGGUCUCCAAAACCAAAGGCUGCAGGCUCGGACCCUGCCGGGAAUGCCA